This is a non-coding RNA of Rattus norvegicus (Norway rat), 4103 nucleotides long. NCBI's taxonomy places the organism in Eukaryota, Metazoa, Chordata, Mammalia, Rodentia, Muridae. The record is from RefSeq and is a predicted model, not a curated record.
UGCAUAUGUGUGUGUGCAUGUGUGUGUAUGUAUGUGUGUGCGUGUGUGCAUAUGUGUGUGCACAUAUGUGCAUGUGUAUGUAUGUAUGUGCGUGUGUGUGCAUGUGUGUGUGCAUGUGUGUGUGCAUAUGUGUGUGCAUGUGUGUGCAUAUGUGUGUGCAAGUGUGUGUGCAUGUGUGUGCAUGUGUGUGUGCAUGUGUGCGUGUGUAUGUAUGUGUGUGUGUGCAUGUGUGUGUGCAUGUGUGUGUGUGUGUGUAUAGGGGGUGGGCAAGUCCCCUGACAUAGAAAAGCCCGUUCUUCCAGGAGAUGCCCCGUUUGUCCAGGAGAUGCCCCUAAGGUCCUUCUCUUGACCACUUUAAAGGAAAGGUAGAAAUAAGUAGGGAGACAAACGUGCUUGACCAACUCAGAGAAAGGUCUAAGUAAGUCACUGGACGUGUGGUGCUUUUCUUGGUUAUGCUGUGAGAGAGAGUCGACAGGCAUGGUGAUGAAUGCCUGUGGUCUUUGCUCCUUUGAAGGCUGAUGCAGAAGGAUCGCUUGUUUAAGGCUUGUCUGCAUUACAGAGUGGGUUCAAGGCCAGCCUAAGCAACUUGGUAAGCAUCUGUCUCAAAAUAAAAAGUACGAAAGGGGCUGAGGAAUCUAGUUCAGUGGUGGUUUAAAUAAAAAUGGCCCCCAUAGGCCCACAGGGAGUGGCACUAUUAGGAGGUGUGGCCUUGUUGGAGAAGGUGUGGCUUUGUUGGAGGAAGUGUGUCACUUGGAGACAGGCUUCGAGGCCUCAGAAGCUCAAGCCUGGCCAGUAUGUCACUGUCACUUCUUGCCAAUCUGGAUGUAGAACUCUCAGCUCAUUCUCCAGCACUAUGUCUGCCUGCACGCUACCAUGCUUCCUGCCAUGAUGAUAAUGGACUCCAAAACAAAACGGAGGAAGGAAGAAGCGAACACUAGAUCGAGCUUCCUAGAGGUGCCAGGCCUGAGGAAAGCACUUCCGAAUUUGAAAUUGAAACUCCGACUCUGCUAUAAAUAGUGUCGCCCGUGGGUGCAGCUGGGGAAUCUGCAGGUGACAAAUUGAAGUGUGUGGCCAAGAGUUACAAGACGAAUAGCUGGCAGAACUGGAAUUUUAGUUCCUAUUAUAAAUAAGACGUAUUGUUCUCAAUGCUAACCUCAUUGAGAGAAAAUCAGUUAGCAAGUUCACGGCUAUGUCGGACUUGAUCUUUGGCUACUGGAUUUUCUUGGGUUAGAACUGAAAAUAAUGGAUAAAGGAGCGACCUAUGUUCUUGUGCUUGUUGGUAUUAACAGUGGGACACACUCAGGUCUGAAGUGGUCCCUCCCGUGAUUUUCCCGUGAUUUUGUUGUUGUUACUGAAGGAACUGAAACCCAAAAGAAGUCCAUAAUUAGGCAAAAAAAAAUGUGUCCCAAGGAAUAAAAUCCCCUUCCCCAGUGGGGAAAAACAAACAAACAAAUAAAAUAUAAAAAAACAGCCUCUGAAACUAUCAGGGUCCCUAAAGGAGAGCAGGCUUUCAGAGGAGGGUCAGUCUAGCACCCCUGGCUAUGGCUGAUGAAGAGAAAGCAUUUUCCUGCUGCUAGCCAUUCACGGACAAGGUUGGUGUUGAUUAUAAUUAGAGCCACCUUUCUAGGAGGGGGUGGGUGCUUCCAAUGCCAGCUCUGCAUUUGCAUCUGGCAGCUGGGACGCUGCCACCUGGCCUGCUCUGUUCUCCAGAGACCUCUCAGCUGCUUUCCCGGGACAGGUGUGAUGGGGGCAAGGGAGGGAGAAAACAGCAGGGACAGCGACCAUCCUGCAGGCAGCCAUUCACAGUGUGAGUCUGCCCUGCUCAUGCAGCAGACUUCUGCUAUUCCAGGACCCCUCAAUGGCUGCUCGCUUUCUAGACCAAUGGGCUCUGGGGUGAUAAGUUCAAUCCCCAGUUCUGUCAAACCUGCAGUUUCUUCCAUGACCUACUUUCCUCACUCUGUGGUACUGCAACAAUGCCUUGCUCUGAUCCUUGUUUAGACUCAUUUUUUGCCUGCCAUGGUAGGAAGCCCAGGCUUUUGCCAAGCUCUCCCCCCACCCCACCCCCACACCCCUUGAAUCCCUGACAAGUGUUGAUGGGAAGAGAAAAAAAGAGAGGGGGAAAAAAACAAGGGAAAGAGAGUUUUUAGCUCUCCCAUAGACUCUCGGGCUCCAGAGGGACCAAAAACUGGCCCAUCAAUAAGAGAAAAAUCAAGAUGUGCUUCUCAAUUCAGAGCAGAAUUGGAAUCUGAGCCUGUUCCUCUCUAGCGAUCUACCUUUCACAGCCCACCUCCAUUUCCUCAGGGAUAGUGAGAAAUAAGCCAUGCAAUGUCAGGAAUGCUCUGGACCCCACAGCAUCAAAGAAAGUGCUGCUUCUGAAGGAUCAGACUUCAAGGAAGAUUUCUCUAAAAGCAUGUCCACCAUGUCUUGGGUGAGCCAGCCCAACAAAAUCCUUUUCACACUCACGGCCCACACCUAUUAUUGAGAAAGUGGAGUGAUCAAGGCCCAGAAGAGUCUUUGUGCUCUGUGAGUCAAAUGUAAGAUCUGCAAGCAGACACCAGGUAACUUGACCCAGGAAAUAAUACAGAAGAACAAUAAAACCAUAACCAGCCUUUAUUGAUUGGUUUCCAUUGCCACGACGGUCCUGCGUGCUUUUGAAUUUGUGGUGUGCCUUCUUGUCCAAGACCCCUGGAUACAGAUCCUGCGGACGACCUCAUGUCAUAAAUCCUGGGGUGCAGGGCAGAGUGCCUGGUUCCUAAGGGGCCAGCUUGGACCUGCAUCAUCAAUCUCUCUAGAGCCCGUACCUGCCAUGGACUCUGGGUCUAGCUUUAAACUACCUUCAAAUGCCGCCUUCCAGUAUUUUCUCAUCUCAUCUCAAAUACUAGGAUGACUUUGGUAGACUGUGACCUCCACGGCCUCCAGCAGUCUCUCCUCUGGCCACCUCUGUGAACCCUGAGCUGAAUUCACCCUGGCUCCUUCCCCCUACUUGAACCUGCCAACAUACACUCUUCUGAGACACCCUCCCUGUUUCCUCUCCUAGAGGACUGGGGCUUUCAAAAUGACCAUGCUGGUCUCAGGGUGGAGGGCAUCCCAAACCCCAAGUCCCUUUUAGUCCAGGGUGAUGUGUGCUUUGGAAAAUGUAAAGGGAAUUCCAGAGAUUCUGAGAGACUCUCCUCUGGGAGUAAAAUAGAGGGCUCCUCAGGGAUGUCCUUUUCUCUGUGUCCCCUCUCCCACUAUAUCUGCUCCUGAGUGAGGAUAGAGUUUAAAGCUGUACUGUGUGCCUCAAAAACCACAGAAUGCACUCACUUUGGACCUACUAAGAACAUAAAGGUGGAAGGAAAACUCCUGGGAACUUGCUGUCAUGAAACAGUUCCCUAAUCUGAAAUGACUAACUUGCAGGUUUAAAAAUUACUUUGGGGUUGGGAAGGUGAGUCAGUGGGAAAAAACACUUUCUGUGUAUACAGGACUCAAGUCUGUAUCCACAGCACCCACAUAGAAAAAGCCAGACAUGGCUGCAAGUACCUGUAAUACAGCACAGGAGUUGGGGAAAGGGGUGGUAGUAGGGGCAGGAUGAUUUCUAGGGCUUGCUGACAGCCAGCCUAACUAGGUACAAACAAUCAAACAACGAAGAAACCCAGUAAGCUUCUGGGUCAGUUUCAGAUUAUCUGGUGUUUGCUUAUAGAUCUUGCAUUUGCCUUAUAGAGCACAAGGAUCUUUGGGGCCAUUUCACUGGUUCCUUGGUCACUUCACUUUCAGUAACAGCCGAGACCAUGAGUGUGACCCUGUUUCAAAUGGAUACGGCAGAGAACAAUAGAACAGAAUAACUGUUAUCUUUCUCUAGGUGCUAUGAACACAUGGGUACACAAACCUGGGCGGGUGCACACUAAUUAAAUCACCGGUGGUCAAUUAAUCAUAUCUUUUUGUUACUUUUAGCUGAGAGCAUCUACUGGAUGGAGUUACCCACCCAUGAUCAACCCUCAGGAGGCUAUGUGGCAACUUCUUACUCAGUGUUGGUUACCGCCAUCCAUCCCCGCCCUUCCCCAUCCAACUGAUUCAUCUCCUGUGCCUCUCCCCAAAUUGCCCCAGUAAAGACAACCUGUCCAACA